GACGAACGCUGGCGGCGUGCUUAACACAUGCAAGUCGAACGGAAAGGCCUUUUCGGAGGUACUCGAGUGGCGAACGGGUGAGUAACACGUGGGUGAUCUGCCCUGCACUCUGGGAUAAGCCUGGGAAACUGGGUCUAAUACCGGAUAGGACCGCACUUUAGUGUGUGUGGUGGAAAGUUUUUUCGGUGUAGGAUGAGCCCGCGGCCUAUCAGCUUGUUGGUGGGGUAAUGGCCUACCAAGGCGGCGACGGGUAGCCGGACUGAGAGGUUGGUCGGCCACAUUGGGACUGAGAUACGGCCCAGACUCCGACGGGAGGCAGCAGUGGGGAAUAUGGCACAAUGGGCGCAAGCCUGAUGCAGCGACGCCGCGUGGGGGAGGACGGCCUUCGGGUUGGAAACUCCUUUCGCCAGGGACGAAGCGUUUUGUGACGGUACCUGGAGAAGAAGCACCGGCUAACUACGUG
This 463-nucleotide ribosomal RNA is filed under the name uncultured bacterium. Its description in RNAcentral is "partial 16S ribosomal RNA". It matches the Rfam family "Bacterial small subunit ribosomal RNA", at positions 28 to 507 of the family's 1533-position model. The record is from RNAcentral.